CUGGCGGCAGGCUUUAGACUGCAAGUCGAGCGGAAACGAUACCUUCGGGUAGGCGUCGAGCGGCGGACGGGUGAGUAACGCGUAGGAAUCUACCCAGUAGCGGGGGAUAGCCCGGGGAAACUCGGAUUAAUACCGCAUACGCCCUACGGGGGAAAGAUGGCCUCUUCUUGAAAGCUAUCGCUAUUGGAGGAGCCUGCGUUGGAUUAGCUAGUUGGUGGGGUAAAGGCCUACCAAGGCGACGAUCCAUAGCUGGUCUGAGAGGACGAUCAGCCACACUGGGACUGAGACACGGCCCAGACUCCUACGGGAGGCAGCAGUCGGGAAUAUUGGACAAUGGGCGCAAGCCUGAUCCAGCCAUGCCGCGUGUGUGAAGAAGGCCUUAGGGUUGUAAAGCACUUUCAGGAGUGAAGAAAGGCGUUGGGUGAAUAAUCCGACGUUUUGACGUUAGCUCCAGAAGAAGCACCGGCUAA
This 470-nucleotide ribosomal RNA is filed under the name uncultured Gammaproteobacteria bacterium. RNAcentral's name for it is "bacterial SSU rRNA". It matches the Rfam family "Bacterial small subunit ribosomal RNA", at positions 36 to 500 of the family's 1533-position model. The record is from RNAcentral. Lineage: Bacteria; Pseudomonadati; Pseudomonadota; Gammaproteobacteria.